RNAcentral lists this ribosomal RNA (292 nucleotides) under uncultured bacterium. RNAcentral's name for it is "partial 16S ribosomal RNA". It matches the Rfam family "Bacterial small subunit ribosomal RNA", at positions 505 to 796 of the family's 1533-position model. The record is from RNAcentral.
GUGUCAGCAGCCGCGGUAAAACGUAGGUGGCGAGCGUUAUCCGGAUUCAUUGGGCGUAAAGAGCUUGUAGGUGGCGGCGUAAGUUGGACGUGAAAUCGCCCGGCUCAACCGGGCGGGGUCGUUCAAUACUGCGCGGCUGGAGGAGGUCAGAGGGAAGUGGAAUUCCUGGUGUAGCAGUGAAAUGCGUAGAUAUCAGGAGGAACACCCGUGGCGAAGGCGGCUUCCUGGGGCCAUCCUGACACUGAGAAGCGAAAGCUAGGGGAGCGAACGGGAUUAGAAACCCCAGUAGUCC